UUUUUCGAGUCUCCGUUUUGUCUAUAAUCAUAUCCAUGCAUUUUUUAUUUAGAAAAACUUCAAAUAUCAACCUUAUAAUUUCAGACUUUUUUACUUUAAUACUCUAUAAUUUAAAAUGUAUCACUUUUGUAUUCUUUGGUUUAUUUUUUUUUCUUUCCGUUACCCCCUUCGUUAAUUUUUUCGUUAAAUCAAUGACAAAGUUAAAACCACAUCGUACUAAACUAAAAAUUUAGUAAAUCAUAAGGUACUAAAGUGAAUAUUUGAUAAAUCAUAGGUGGAAUAUCUAAAGUUUUUUUUGUAUAAAAUUUAAUGUAGAGUUAAUAAAACAUUGACGAAAAAUAAAAAUAAAACCACAGGAUGCUCAAGUGAUACACUUUAAAGCACAGGGUACUAAAAUAAAAAAGCACGAAAUCACAGUAUAGUAUUUGAAGUUUAUCCUUUUUAUUUUGGUAAAAAUGUAUAGA
RNAcentral lists this long non-coding RNA (464 nucleotides) under Ananas comosus (pineapple). RNAcentral's name for it is "long non-coding RNA (ACOM_LNC035293)". The record is from RNAcentral. Lineage: Eukaryota; Viridiplantae; Streptophyta; Magnoliopsida; Poales; Bromeliaceae.